Molecule: ribosomal RNA, 242 nt
Filed under: uncultured bacterium
Lineage: Bacteria
Description: partial 16S ribosomal RNA
Rfam family: Bacterial small subunit ribosomal RNA
Source: RNAcentral
UUUGCCGGCGAGCGGCGGACGGGUGAGUAAUGCAUAGGGAUCUGCCCGGUAGUGGGGGAUAACGUGGGGAAACCCACGCUAAUACCGCAUACGUCCUACGGGAGAAAGGGGGGCUUCGGCUCUCGCUAUCGGAUGAACCUAUGUCGGAUUAGCUUGUUGGUGAGGUAAAGGCUCACCAAGGCGACGAUCCGUAGCUGGUCUGAGAGGAUGAUCAGCCACACUGGGACUGAGACACGGCCCAG